ACAGUACCAAUCACAACAGUACCAAUCACAACAGUACCAAUCACAACAGUACCAAUCACAACAGUACCACCGACUUUGAUACUAUUUCGAGUAAUAUAAUCGAAAAAAUUAAACACUCUAAUAGCAAUAAUAUAACUAAUAGUUGUAUAAACACACAUACAAAACAAAGAGACGAGAAAAUAUUGAAUACUCAAGUAAAUGACAAAAGCGUUUUUGACAUCUCUUCUUUAACUCAUAAAUAUAAAUACAAAUCCAAUAUAAUUUUAACGAUAAAUAAAAUUAAGAAUAUAGAAAAAGUGAUUGAAAUAGAAUUAAACUUAGGAGAUGUUCAGUUAAAAGUACCUGGAAUGAGAGUUGAAAAUUUAAUACUACCCUAUAAAUUUUACAAUGACAUCCUAAACAUACAAAUAAAAACGUUACGAGAGAAUGAUGGAGAUAAAGAUGAAGGUAUAGCAAAAAAUGCUUCAAAAAUUUUAAAUAUAAAUUAUGGUAAUAACAUGUAUAAAAGACAGGACAUAGUAAAAAACCCAUACUGCACAUCACAAGAACAGUUAAAUGGUACGUCAUGUUUCAUUAUUAAAACAUAUUAUAUCUGUAUACCACUGAAUAACAUACAAAAUGAAAUUAUUAAUAAAAGACUUUUUUUAAUUGAUACAGAAUGUAAAAAAAAAUUUGAAAAUGAAAAAUUGUUACCUGAUAGUAUAUAUUUAAUUCAGUCGAAAGAAAUGUCGUCAAACAAUGAAAGCCAUAUGUAUAUAUCAAUUAAAAAAUGUAACAAUGGUAUACAUUUUUAUCCUAUUGAAAAUGAUACUACUAAUACAGGUAGCAAUAGCAAUAAAAAUUUAUCUUUUUGUCAUACAAAUAUGAACACAGUAUUUAAACCUGUCUAUGUCAGCUUAUAUAAUGAUACGAUAGACAUAGCAGUUGGACAAUUUAUUAAUCAAUACAAUUUGAUUAAUAAAAUAAAAAUUGAAAAAUUAAAUAAAACUGGUUUUUAUAUUAUUAACAAUAGUCGGUUUUGUUUUUCUUUUAAUAAAAAUAAUAUAUUAGUAUAUAAUACCGAUAAUAGAAUCAAUCAAGUAAAUAUAACAACACCAACGGAGAGUAAUAUUGUAGAAGAACAUGCAAGUAAUUUAUUUAUUUUUUUUUCAUACAAUUAUAUAAUGGUAAAUUCUUUGUUGGAUAUAUUUCCUUUGGUAAUCUUUCCCCUAAUUAACCAAAUUGAAUAUUUUGAUUUUAUUAACAAAAAUGAA
RNAcentral lists this long non-coding RNA (1253 nucleotides) under Piliocolobus tephrosceles (Ugandan red Colobus). Its description in RNAcentral is "lncRNA (ENSPTEG00000010842.1)". Lineage: Eukaryota; Metazoa; Chordata; Mammalia; Primates; Cercopithecidae. The record is from RNAcentral.